RNAcentral lists this ribosomal RNA (435 nucleotides) under uncultured bacterium. RNAcentral's name for it is "partial 16S ribosomal RNA". It matches the Rfam family "Bacterial small subunit ribosomal RNA", at positions 29 to 507 of the family's 1533-position model. The record is from RNAcentral.
AGCGAACGCUGGCGGCAGGCUUAACACAUGCAAGUCGAGCGGGCACUUUCGGGUGUCAGCGGCGGACGGGUGAGUAACGCGUGGGAACGUGCCCUCUGGUUCGGAAUAACUCAGGGAAACUUGAGCUAAUACCGGAUACGCCCUUUUGGGGAAAGGCUUGCUGCCGGAGGAUCGGCCCGCGUCUGAUUAGCUAGUUGGUGAGGUAACGGCUCACCAAGGCGACGAUCAGUAGCUGGUCUGAGAGGAUGAUCAGCCACACUGGGACUGAGACACGGCCCAGACUCCUACGGGAAGCAGCAGUGGGGAAUAUUGGACAAUGGGCGCAAGCCUGAUCCAGCCAUGCCGCGUGAGUGAUGAAGGCCUUAGAGUUGUAAAGCUCUUUUAUCCGGGACGAUAAUGACGGUACCGGAGGAAUAAGCCCCGGCUAACUUCGUG